AUUGAACGCUGGCGGCAUGCUUUACACAUGCAAGUCGAGCGGCAGCGCGGGGGCAACCCUGGCGGCGAGCGGCGAACGGGUGAAUAAUGCAUCGGAACGUAUCCUCGAGUGGGGGAUAACCCAGCGAAAGUUGGGCUAAUACCGCAUGAGCUCUGAGGAGGAAAGCGGGGGACCUGCGAGGCCUCGCGCUGGAGGAGCGGCCGAUGUCCGAUUAGCUAGUUGGUGGGGUAAAGGCUUACCAAGGCGACGAUCGGUAGCUGGUCUGAGAGGAUGAUCAGCCACACUGGGACUGAGACACGGCCCAGACUCCUACGGGAGGCAGCAGUGGGGAAUUUUGGACAAUGGGGGCAACCCUGAUCCAGCCAUGCCGCGUGAGUGAAGAAGGCCUUCGGGUUGUAAAGCUCUUUCGGACGGAACGAAAUGGGCGGGACUAAUACUCCUGUCUGAUGACGGUACCGUAAGAAGAAGCACCGGCUAACUACGUG
RNAcentral lists this ribosomal RNA (485 nucleotides) under uncultured bacterium. Its description in RNAcentral is "partial 16S ribosomal RNA". It matches the Rfam family "Bacterial small subunit ribosomal RNA", at positions 29 to 507 of the family's 1533-position model. The record is from RNAcentral.